Long non-coding RNA from Phacochoerus africanus (Common warthog), 3305 nucleotides. RefSeq lists it as uncharacterized. The transcript has 2 exons. The record is from RefSeq and is a predicted model, not a curated record. Lineage: Eukaryota; Metazoa; Chordata; Mammalia; Artiodactyla; Suidae.
GACUCGGGGGCGGGCAGGGGGACACGGGACCGAGUGAGCCCGUGCGCGGGCCAAGAGCCUCGCGGCCGCUGCCAAAGAAAAAAGGUUCCUGGGCUGUUCCCACCCUCCUCCGGGCACCACGUGGUCCUGUUCAAACCCGCCGGAAGCCUCCGAGUCAGAAAGUGGCCAAGCAGGGCUAUGAACUCCGGUCUCACUGCGCUGUUCGUCUACACGGCUGGCCUCUGGGUGGGCCUCCCCAGGGCCCUGGAUGAAUUUUCAACAGCCAAGACCCACUGGGAUCUCCCCAAGCCAGCAUCCACCUCACCCGUGCCCUCGAGCCCCAUGGUCUGUGGACACCAACCGGGUGGAGGCACUGCCAGGGCAUCUGUGAGGUGCAGGUUGGCAUGCAAACUCAACUUGGAGCCUGGGGUGCGCUGUGUCCUGCACAGGGAGAGCUGUCCAGGCUGGAAGGUUUCUGGUACCUUCCUAAGAAACACUCAACACAGCACAGAGGGAAACCAAGGCCCCAGAGGAAAAGGGGUGCGUCCAGAGUGACUCGAAAAGCCAGCGAUGGAGACGAGGCUACUCCGAGGGCAGGGCUCUUUCAUCGCCUCUGUCACCUCCUCUGUCUUUUCUGGGGCACCGUGAGAGCCAGCAGAGCGCAGAGGGGGCCCCGGGAAGCAGCCCUGAAUGAAGAAACUAGGAGGCAGGAUGGAGCGGGGCACGGUCUGGGCUCUCUGGGCGGCGGCCCCGGCGGCUGGGCUGAGCUGGACGAUCGUUAGGAGGAGGCCGAGGAGGGCGGGCGGGCUCUACUAGCCCGUCUCUGUCCCACGUGAGUGACUUUCCUGGGGGACCGUCCCAUGUACCCAAGGCCACAACUCCCUUCGGGGCUGCCUGGGGACAUGGACGGGCAGAGAAACGGGAGGAGGUCCAGAGACAGAAGCGGGUCACGGGAGCCGAGAGAUGCAGAGCCCCGAGGACUCUACCUCCCAUCCAGGGAGAGGAGAGGGGCAGGUAUCACUGGCUGAAGCCCGCAAGCCAGCCGCAGACUCAGCAUCCCGUCCAGACGGAGCCAAUGUCUGUCUCAAGCCCGGCCUGAAGCUCGGUUCUGUUAAGGACGCAGGCCCGUCUGGGUUCGGGGGGGAGGCGGUGACUGGUUCUGUCUGGCAUGGGCGUGAAAGGGAGUUUCAGCUCCAGGAUCAUCAGUCAUGACCUUUCUCCUCUCGUGGAAGCCUCACCCUGGUGCCUCCUCCGAGAAACCUGGGCAGCAGGCGGGGCACGAGGGAUCAAGUUGCUUCGAAGGGGAGGAAACCGAAGGCCCGCAGGGCCCGGGAAGCUGUCCCAGUGAUGCCUAAGGUCUGAGAGGCGCCGGCCGGGGUGAGAAACUUCGCGUCCCUGAGCCUCCUUCCUGUCUGUCAACUGGCAUCACGGUGGCAUCGUCUGAGGAUGAAAACAAGACUAUAAGGCAGAUGAAAGCUGGAGCCACUGCAGAGACGGGGCAGGGACAUGACUUGAGUCGCGGGAAACUGGCCUGGCGGGAAGCUGACACGGUGGAAACCCGCCGCACCUUAAAAACUAGGGCCCCGACCCCAGCCAGAGCCCGCUGUUCCUCGCUGACCAACACGCCCUGAACGGAAGGCAGCACACAGGCCCUUCUGCUCCGUGCCAGCCCGGCAGCGCAAAACCACAGACGAUGCCACCUGCUGUAUCGUCUCACGAAAGACCAGCAGAGGGAAGGAAGACGCUGUCUCGCUACGAUGUACGCGCGACCACGGAGGCAGGGCCCGCUGCCCGGAGCUUUCGUCCUGCUGCUUCUCCACUCCUAAAACCUGACCUCACAGCUCCCAGACCACAGCCCGCUGGUUCGCAGCUCCCUGCCUUCGCCCCUGCACCUGCCUAGAGCACCCCCGGCCCCUGCAGGGUGGCCCGGAGCCCCUCAGACCUGGGCCACCAGGGCCCCACACGGGCUCUGCAGCUUAGAGGACGAGGCUCAGGCUCUUCCAGAACUUUCCCUCCCACCUGGAACCAGAGCCGCCUCCAGGUCCCCAAAUGCUCUGCCUAAAAGGCCUGAGCCCCCCCCGCCCCUGACCCACCACCACGGGAUCACGGGAUGAGGGCACAGCGCGGGCACACGGAGCAUGGCCGUCUGCAGGGGCAGUGGUGGACCGGGCUGAGACAGGCCGUCGGGGCACCCUCGUGUGUAUCUGUGUGUGCGUGUGUGCGCGCGUGCACGCAAGCCGGGGGACCCCAUUUGCCCUCUUGGCCCACCCCUGAUAAACCAGUCACCCACUUUCUCCCAGGUUCUAGAACAUGAAAUCUGCUUUCGAAGAUGACCCCUUAAAGCUAUGAACCUCAAGCCACAGCCAGCCCUGCCCCUACAGCAAGUCCGUGCCCCAUCUCAUCACAUCCUCAGGGCCGCGCCAGUGCAACGCACGGGCCCCACGCUGUUCCGAGGAACCUGAGCGUGUCUGGCGCGCGCCUCUGGUUUUUAUUCUCAGCGCAACCCCCGGGAGAAAGGGAAGGUGCCACGCUGUCCACUUACAGAGCCUGAGCCAUGGAGCUGCUGGGUAACAGCCGAGGGCUCCCAGGCGUGAACCGCCUCGCGGGAGGAAGCCUGGAUUUCGCGUGGGGGCCUGCGCUGCCCCCUAACGGGAUGGACAACACGGGUGAGGACAGACAGAAGGUCUUACAUGUCUUGGGACCUCGAGGGGCCACCAAGCGACAGGAACAGUUCCUGGAAAAGGAUAAAAACCAGGUCUCUGUAUUUUUUUAACUUGACUCAUAAGGAACUGAACAGAAUUUGACAGCUGCAGAAGGCAGCUUGAGGACCCCAGCAUUUCUCCCCAACAGACCAGAGCCAGCAAGAAGGCGGGGGCUCCUGCAAGCCCGACGGAGGCUCAGGUGCAGGUGAGGGGGGGAGCCGAGCUGCCACACAGCUGAGGGGACUCUGGAGAUGGAAUGUGUCCCCUGCAGACAGCCUCACCCCCAAGCCCACAAUCAGGUGCUCUGACGAGAGGUUCUGCAGCUGCGGUUAAGGGUCCCGAGGUGGGGGCAUCUCGGGCAGGCCCCACACAAGUGCGACGGGAGACGGGCAGGGGAGCCGAGCGUCACCCAAGGACAUGUGACAACCGAGGCAGAGGUCAGGGCCAUGAAGGGGACCGCCCGCCAAGGAAUGCGGGCCGCCUCCAGAAGACGGACAAGGCAAGAAAACCGAUUCUGUCCUGGACCCUCCAGGAAGGACUCGGCCCAGCCGGCCGCAAGCCCAGUGGGACCCAUUUGGGACACGUGCCCUGCGGAACUGGUGAGAAUAAACUGGCGUUGCUCCA